AUGGAGAUUUCCCAAGAAUUUUCGACAAUUUCUCCCCAAAAUUCCUGCCUGGUGGGGCACGAGCGGCUGCCGCUGCGGCUGGCGCAGAAAUCGCUGCACAAGGCGGCCGGUAAACCCACAAACGUCAACGUUUCGUUGAUUCUGAGCGACUCUGCCACCCAAAAAACCCCAUUUUUCCCCAAGAAACGUCCAUUUUUUUCCCAAAAUCGCCGCUUUUUCACCCAAAAAACCCGGUUUUCCCACUCAAAAUCAGCAAUUUCUCCCCAAAAUUCCUGCCUGGUGGGGCACGAGCGGCUGCCGCUGCGGCUGGCGCAGAAAUCGCUGGACAAGGCGGCCGCGCUGGUGGCGGGGGCGGCGCUGGAGGAGGACGAGGAGCUGCAGAACCUUUGGGCCACGGCCUCGACCUUCAUCGUCCUCUUCAUCCUCAGCCUCUUCUACAGCGCCACCGUCACCCUCAUCAAGGGUGACGCCGGCGCCGUAGAAGAGGCUGAGGAGGAAGAGGAGGAGGAAGGUGCCGAAGGUCCAAAGGUCGGAAUUUUCCGGGUCCCGUUCGGGCUCCAGCGGCAGCGGCAGCGCCACGAAAGUCGGGGGAAAAUCUGGGGGAAAAAAGGGGGAAAUUGGGCAAAAAGGGGAAAAAAAAUACUCGGGAAAAAUCCGCACGACGUCGGUGUCGGCCAGCACCACGGACACGUUGACGUUGUUGGGCCGCGCCGACCACCGGUCCACGUUCCUCUGCAGGAACUUCACUCCUCCCACGGCCUCGUGUCCCACCACGCACCCGAAGGCGUUUGA
Taeniopygia guttata (zebra finch) is the source of this 792-nucleotide non-coding RNA. Lineage: Eukaryota; Metazoa; Chordata; Aves; Passeriformes; Estrildidae. The record is from the annotation of a RefSeq genome assembly.